GACGAACGCUGGCGGCGUGCCUAAUACAUGCAAGUUGAGCGCUGAAGGUUGGUACCUGUACCAACUGGAUGAGCAGCGAACGGGUGAGUAACGCGUGGGGAAUCUGCCUUUGAGCGGGGGACAACAUUUGGAAACGAAUGCUAAUACCGCAUAAAAACUUUAAACACAAGUUUUAAGUUUGAAAGAUGCAAUUGCAUCACUCAAAGAUGAUCCCGCGUUGUAUUAGCUAGUUGGUGAGGUAAAGGCUCACCAAGGCGAUGAUACAUAGCCGACCUGAGAGGGUGAUCGGCCACAUUGGGACGGAGACACGGCCCAAACUCCUACGGGAGGCAGCAGUAGGGAAUCUUCGGCAAUGGACGAAAGUCUGACCGAGCAACGCCGCGUGAGUGAAGAAGGUUGUCGGAUCGUAAAACUCUGUUGGUAGAGAAGAACGUUGGUGAGAGUGGAAAGCUCAUCAAGUGACGGUAACUACCCAGAAAGGGACGGCUAACUACGUG
RNAcentral lists this ribosomal RNA (497 nucleotides) under uncultured bacterium. Its description in RNAcentral is "partial 16S ribosomal RNA". It matches the Rfam family "Bacterial small subunit ribosomal RNA", at positions 28 to 507 of the family's 1533-position model. The record is from RNAcentral.